AGCCAUCUCUACGGAUACGGGGCCGCACAAUCAGCUGCUGCCGCCCUCUCCAGCGUCUACACCUCACGUGCCCUAACCGACCUGACCCUCCGGUGCCUUUCCGAGUGCGACCCUUCGACCUCCGCCACCGACGACCAUAGCCAAAGUAGCUCUAUGUAUCUGGCGACGUCGCAUUUGAUGUCCUAGUCUUCAUGGCCAUCUCCCAAUGUCGAGCCCGGCGUUCCCGGCGUGAAACGCCCCUCUGAAGUACUUUAUAAAGACUCAAAGAUGCUAAUUUGGUAUGAGGUGCAAGUUCAAUCGUCCGAAGGACAAACUGGCUGCAGAUGAUAUGUGGAUUUUUCAAGAGUUAACUGUCAUCUGGACCGAUUCCCUAUUUUAUUAUGAUAUGAUGCACUACUCUGGUUUUUGGUUGCUUCAGCAAAUGCUGAUGUUUUUGCCUUACCUGAGAGGCCUUCUGAACCCCCAUGUGCAUUUCACUUGAAAACGGGGCAAUGUAAGUUUGGUGCAACCUGCAAAUUUCAUCCCCCGAAAGAUAUCCUGAUACCAUCAGCGGAGCAAGAGAAUACAAUUAGAGAAACUGGGACAACUAUUCAGCUGGAGGGAACUGGAUUUGCUGUGAAGCCUCCUGUUUCAUUCAGCCCUGCACUAUCAUUUAACUCCAAGGAGCUUCCUGUAAGACCGGGUGAACCCGAUUGUCUAUUCUACCUAAUUGGAAGUUGCAAGUAUUGGGUCACUUGGGCACGACUUAAGAGAAAGAAAAGGCACUAUGUGACGAUCUUGUUGCUGCGUCCACCACGCACUCAGCGCAGUCGGCAAUACCUCCUGGGUGAGGAGAAGCCCACGUGGAGAAUUUUGUAAUUGGUAAUGUCCAAGUUUGUAAUCAGUGAUCUUACGGCGUGAAUUCUUUGUAAAGUACUGCAACAUAAAAAAGGGCAUUCAUUUGAUCCACCAGUACUUGGCCUCUUUUCCCGUGCAUCAAGGCCUUCAUGCGAUUUGAUAAUCAACUUGAAUUGAAAUUUAUUGAGAAAAUUCUCAGUGCAGUCAGGACCCCAAAUCAGACCAAUGCCUCUUUAUAUUUGAAGAAAAACCAGGAGUCAUUAAGGGAUCCGACCACAUCAUGUCACCAGGAACCAAGUUGGGACCUCCUCAUGGAGUAUCAAGAUAGGUCCCAACUUGAUUCUUGGUGACGUGAUGUGGUUGGAUCCUCAAUGAAUCCUGGUCUUUCUUCAAAUAUAAGAGACAUUGGUCUGAUUUGGGGUCCUGACUGCACUGAGAAUUUUCUUAAUAAAUUUCAACUCAAGUUGAUUAUUAAAUCGCAUGAAGGCCUUGAUGCAUGGUAAAAGAGGAUAUUACUGAUUACAAAAUUCUUUGCUAGCGGGAUGCGAUUUGUGAGGUUGUACCCUUAUCCUCUGUUUGGAUGAAGGAACUGAAAAUUACAUAGAAUUCUAAAAUGAUGGAAUUUUGAUCUCUA
Molecule: non-coding RNA, 1471 nt
Organism: Prunus avium (sweet cherry)
Lineage: Eukaryota; Viridiplantae; Streptophyta; Magnoliopsida; Rosales; Rosaceae
Source: RefSeq, a predicted model, not a curated record